This is an RNA transcript of Columba livia (rock pigeon), 4395 nucleotides long. It is a transcript of the gene named protein kinase AMP-activated non-catalytic subunit gamma 3, with no coding region annotated. The transcript is spliced from 11 exons. NCBI's taxonomy places the organism in Eukaryota, Metazoa, Chordata, Aves, Columbiformes, Columbidae. The record is from RefSeq and is a predicted model, not a curated record.
UGGGUUGUGUGUCCCCCAGCCUGGGAGAGUGAUGCUAGGCACUUGGGCUGGUUGCUCAGGGCCAGAGGAGGUGCUGAGCCCCAUGUGUGGGCCCUGGGGCUGGUGGAAAGCUCUUCCCUCUCCCUGCAGCGCCCUGCUACCCAGAGCUUGUCCCUGUUUCUCUAGUCUCCUUGGUGACAAUCUCAUCGCUCCUCGGCUUCUCUCCAGCACCUGAAAAUAGCUGCCGAAAGUGGAGAUGCCUGCUCCCUUCCCUGCUGCCAGCACCCGGCAGUGGCCAGGCUGGAGCCAGGCUGCCCAGCGCAGCUGUAAGGGAUCAGCCCCAUCCCAUCCUCUGCACCGUGGUGGGGCAAGGGCCACCUGGGACUGUGUCCUGGUGUCACCCCAGCACUGAGACCCUGACUCAUCCCUCUGCUUCCUCCUUGCCUUGGGGUAGCACCAGGGGACAGGAGCUUCCCUUGCACCCCACCACAACCCAGGGUCCAGCUGUCCCCCAGGAGUCAGCCAGAGCUACUCUGUCCCCUUGGCCCAGCAGCCACCAGCCCACUCGCCCGUGUCUGCUCCUGGGCCGGCACGGCAGCCAGCCAAGCGGUUAUUUGAACCUUCCUGAAAUAGCAAUGGAACCUGGAGCAAGCGGAGGGAGGGCAGGAGGGGCUGGCCCAGUGGUUGAGGAAGGAGGUUCCCCAGCAGCCACGGGCUGACCCUGCCAUGAGACCCCAGAUGGCCGGGGCUGGCAGGACUGCAGGCAGGGCCAUGGCAGCUUGCAGGGAGAAAAGGGUCUCAAGCUGCUCUGCCUGCUGCCCAGCCUGGGGAUGGACCAUGCCUUCCAGCAUCCCCCGGGGAAGUGGGGGCAUGUUGUGCCCCUUCACCUAAUCCUGCUGCAGGAUGGGGUGGUGGUAGCACCUGGGUGGACAGGGCUGCAUUGUGGCAGGUGCUGAGCACCGCUCCUGGAGGAUGGGGGAUUUCUGCCCCCUGCCUUCCCUCCAUCACCCCCUCCCUCAUGUCCCCAGUGCUGUGCCCAGGGCCGUCCCCUCCAGCCCAGUGCUGUGAGGUCACGGGGUGGCGCAGUGGCUGCGGGUGCUGCAUGGCCGUGGCAGUGGUGGCGGCGGUGUGUGCAUUCCCCCCCCCGCGGCAGUGGCGGGGGCAUGGCUGGCAUUGCUCACUGACACCCUAUCUGCCAGGCCCCCACCAGCCACUGGCCCAGAAUAGCAGCGCUGCCCCGCAGUCAGCAUGGAGCGACUCUCCAGCCCCGCCGCGUCCCAGGUACCGUCGGGCCGGGUGGGGGGCUCGGCUCAACAGCCCCCCGCUUGAGGACAGGCCACCUCCCGGGGUGGGGAGAUAUGGGGGGCUGGCAGUCUCCUUCCCAUGGGCAGGCAGCCUUUACGACAAGGAUGUGGAGCACAGCAUGGCCCACCCGCCUGCCCUGGUUGUCUCAGCCCCUUGGGAAGGGUUGGGGGACUCUGGCAUAGGGUUGACUCUUUGCUGGGGUUGGCUCUAGGCUCCCCAGGGAUAACUCCCUGUGCCUUUGUUGUUGGAGGGUGGCUUCUAAACAUUGCCUCUACUGGCGGGUUUGUGGCCACGAUUGCUCUUCCUGCCAUGCAUGCUGCUUUGUUAUGGGAGGGUCUCCUGGGGACCUGCCGGGUAUGGGUCAGCUGGUUGGCUGUGCUCGCCUCCCUCCUGCAUAGGGCUGCCCCCCACUUUGUUAUUGUAGGGUCUCCUGGGGCAGACCUGGUCCCUGGGGGGCUGGUGGGGCUCCCAGCACGGGAGGAAGCAGGACCAGGAUUUACACCUUGGUGCUGGGAGAAGGAGAGGAUGAACAUGGAGCUGCCAUGGGACAUGCUGUGCUCUGGCAGGGGAGAGAGUAGCCAGGGGUUUCUUCUGUCCCUUGCCCUCACCCUGAGACCCCCUCUGUACCCCCAGGUUGGGGGUAUAAGCUGGGCAUCCUGGGCUAGAGACACCACAGGGGCAGCAGGCUCUGGGGGUCCUGGGCCAGUGGGGCGCUCUCUAGGGGAGUUAGGGACUGAGCCCAGCCUGCAUCCCCACCCUGAAAGGACAGUCCACUUUACCUGGCAGGGUGAGCUGGGGCAGCCGGGUGGGUGCAGGCAGCACCCAUGGGUGUGGGAGAGGCUGGUCUGGCUCCUGCUGAACCCCAUUGCUGUGUGCCCCCUCAGGUGGCGCUGCUGGAUGCCACUGCCCGCCCCGAGGAGGAAGGGUUCUCAGGGACCCUGUGCUCCAGGGAGGUGGAGGAGGAGGGAGAGGAAGAGGAAGAGGACAGCCAGAGGAGCCCACGACCUGUCACCUUCACACUGGGAAACGAGCUAUUGGGGCUGGGCCCAGAGAGUGACUUUCAGAGCCCUGAUGCCGAGAUCUACAUGCACUUCAUGAGGAGCCACUGCUGCUAUGACACCAUCCCCACCAGCUGCAAGCUUGUUGUCUUCGACAUCUCCCUGGAGAUCAAGAAAGCUUUUGUGGCACUGGUGGCCAACGGGGUGCGUGCUGCCCCGCUCUGGGACAGCAAGACACAGAGCUUUGUUGGAAUGCUCACCAUCACUGACUUCAUCAACAUCCUCCACCGCUACUACCGCUCGCCCUUGGUUCAGAUCUAUGAGGUGGAGGAACACAAGAUUGAGACCUGGAGAGAGGUGUACCUGCAGGGCUCCUUCAAGCCAUUGGUGUACAUCUCACCGAGCCAUAGCCUCUUCGAUGCUGUCUACUCCCUGAUCAAGCACAAGAUCCACCGCCUGCCCAUCAUCGAGCCUGUCUCAGGCAACGUCCUGCACAUUCUGACGCACAAGCGCAUCCUCAAGUUUCUUCACAUCUUUGGCUCCACCAUCCCUAAGCCACGCUUCCUGAAGAAAACGGUGCAGGAGCUGUGUAUAGGCACCUUCCGUGAUGUUGCUGUUGUGCUGGAAACUGCCCCCGUCUACACUGCCCUGGAGAUCUUCGUGGACCGCCGUGUUUCUGCCCUGCCCGUCGUCAACGAUGCUGGUACCUGGGGAGGCAACCAGCUACACCCCUCAUUUCCCUCUGCCAGCCACUCCAGCUCCAUCCACACCCAGAUCCCCACCCCUGCUAGCCUGGCCCUUGGGGUGCAGGGGGAGCAUGGUAGGUGGUCCCCGGGUUGCCCUCUCCAGCCCCUGCAUUGUCUCUGCUUGCAGGACAAGUGGUUGGCCUCUACUCCCGGUUUGAUGUCAUUCACCUGGCAGCUCAGAAGACCUACAACAACCUGGACAUCAGCGUGCGGGAGGCGCUGCGGCAGCGAACUGUCUGCCUGGAGGGGGUCCUCACCUGCUACCCCCAUGAAACCAUGGAGGACAUCAUCGACCGCAUCGCCAAGGAGCAGGUCCAUCGCCUGGUUUUGGUGGAUGAGAACCAGUACCCGCGGGGCAUCGUUUCCCUCUCUGACAUCCUCCAGGCCCUUGUGCUCACUCCUGCAGGUAUCGAUGCUCUUAACUCUUAGCCCGCAACGCACCGUCUUUCUCCACUUGCAUCCUUCAUUUCUCUCCACUUCAGGUAGGCGCUGUCCCCUGCCACUGUGUGCCUGUCCCCUCCCUGCCAUUGGGUCACCCACACCUUGUCACCUCCCUGCUCAGGCCACCUGCCUGCACACCAGCCAAACCUCCCCUUGGGGACAGGGGAGGCUGGGGCUGGGGUCCAGCAGCGCUGGGUGCCUGGGUGGGGACAGCAGGACCCAGAUGAUGCUUGUCCCUGGGGACACAAGGAUCACAGAGGAUCCAUUCUGAGGUCCUGAUCCCUCGUGUCUGUGAGGAAGGAUGGGGCCACCUGCCAAGGAGACAUCCCCAGACCCCCAUCCAGGCAGCAUGUGAGAUGCAGGUUUUGCAGUUCCCUGGGCUUUGGGCUGGAUGAGGGUUUUGGAGUGUGAUACACCCCAAGAUGUGAUGCACCCUUUUUUUGACCUUGCCUCAAAGCCCCCCCUGAGACCUGUGCUCCUCCAGUGCCAUUCCUGGGGAACACACAUGGGACAGACACCCAGUUGCACAUCCGAGAUGUGCCAUCCAUCACCAGCCACAUGCACCAUGUCGCUGAGCCAUGGGCCAUGGCUGGCAGAGCCUACUGCCCCCCCGGCCCCAGUGGCCCUGGCCACUGAGCCUCUGGCACCUGCGGUGGCCAUGGCCACUGAGCCUCUGGCACCUGCGGUGGCCCCAAAACCACCUGCUUCAGGGAUGGGGCUCACUCACAGGCUGAGCUGGGACCGUGCUGCCCGGCUGCCUGCACUUGGCUCCCCUCGCCCAUUGCCCGGCAUCGACCGAUCCUUGUUCUGAAGACACCAGGGAAGUGCCAUCUCUGACUCAGGGGUCUCUUGCAUGGCUGUGGAAGGAGGCCUGGGCUCCAGAGGCUCUCCACAGGGAGGACCUGCCUGCCCAUCCUGGUCCUGGG